RNAcentral lists this small nucleolar RNA (115 nucleotides) under Nannospalax galili (Upper Galilee mountains blind mole rat). Its description in RNAcentral is "Small nucleolar RNA SNORA38 (ENSNGAG00000010235.1)". It matches the Rfam family "Small nucleolar RNA SNORA38". Rfam says of the family: ACA38 is a member of the H/ACA class of snoRNA that guide the sites of modification of uridines to pseudouridines. Lineage: Eukaryota; Metazoa; Chordata; Mammalia; Rodentia; Spalacidae. The record is from Rfam by way of RNAcentral.
CCCUCCUGCAAAAGCAUGUGUUGGUUCCCUGUAAGAAUCAGAGACAAGAUAUGUGGAUUUGGAGAAAUCUGGGAUGAGCUUGCUCCUCAGUCUCAAAAUCAACCAUCCCACAUAG